Loxodonta africana (African savanna elephant) is the source of this 6843-nucleotide long non-coding RNA. RefSeq lists it as uncharacterized. The record is from RefSeq and is a predicted model, not a curated record. The transcript is spliced from 2 exons. Lineage: Eukaryota; Metazoa; Chordata; Mammalia; Proboscidea; Elephantidae.
UUCUAGUAAAAGAUUUGACUUGAGAAUCUACUCAGUUGUUUCCUAUUGUAGUUGGUGGCUAACUGAUGAAUUAUAUCGUAUUUUGGGGGGCUUUUGGCAGUGCUACACAAUGUAUGAUUGUAAAGAUGAAAUUAGAUUGCCCUAACUUUAGCAAGAUUAUUAGAUUGUUCUGGCUGUAUUUAUCUUCAUAAACCAUUGAAACAUAAUUUAAAUUGUAUUUAUAAAGGUGGAGCCAGUACAAGUAAUUAUAGUUCUUUGGGUAAUGCCUUCAGUGCAUUCAUGGUGUGGCUACCAAUAGUUGGUAUUGGUAGAACAGACAGAUGUAGUUAAUAUUUUGCUUUAAUAGUUAAAAAGAUAUGAUAACCUAUGAAAAGAGAGGAAACUCCAGAAAAAAAAGCUAAAUACAGCAAAUUUAUUUGAGAUACCCUUUGGUCCAUAUUCGGUAACAGUUCCUCAGAUAACCUUAUCUGUUAGUGUCUGUCCGUAGUUUAACAACUAUCCCUUCUUAUUUCUGUGUAGUAUAUUCUAGAAAUAUACAAACGUGUCUUUUUUUUCCUAACUCUUCCAACUUCGUUACUUACAUCCAAGGUAUUUAUCCUGCCACAGUUUCCACUGUUAAUUGUCUUCUUCAGUCUAAGAUUUCAGUCUUCUUGUUUACCUUAGUUUAAGGUUCUUUUAAAUUACCUAAAUAAUCUUUAACCAAAAAAGCAUUGUUUUUAUUAAAUAUUGAUAAAAAUAAAUAAAAUAUAUUUUAAGAUUUACCUACUAGGUGCCCAUCACUUAGUUAAAAAAAAGAAGUAUUGUUACUUAUUAAAGUCCCCUGAGUGCCUCUUCCCAAUCCCAUCCUCGUCCAAUUCCAUGAGAGUAACCAUGCUCUUGAAUUUGUUUAUCAUUAGCUUGCUUUUCUUUUUAUUUUGCCAUGUUUCUAUUAACAGUGUAUUGUUUAACAUAAAUGGAAUGAUUUUAUGUGUAUUAUUAUGCAAGUUGAUUUUUUUUCUCAAGAUAGUAUUCCUGAAGUUUAUCCAAGUUAUUGCAUAUAGCUGUAGUUAUGAUCACUGUUGAAUAUAUCAUGAUUUAUUUAUCCAUCCUUUUUUUUUUUGAUAAGAUGAGUUGUUUCUAGUUUGCUGUUAUAGGCAAUUAGAGAACAUUCUAUUAUGUGUCUUCUGGGGAGGGAGCCCUGGUGGCAUAUUGGUUAAAUGCUUAGCUGCUAACUGAAAGAUGUGUGGUUUGAACACACCAGCCACUCUGGGAGAAAAAUGCGGCAGUCCUUUUCUGUAGAAACCCUAUGGGGCAGUUGUACUGUGUCUGUAGGGUCGCUGUGAGUUGAAAUUGACUUGAUGACAACAGGUUUGGUUUUGGUUUUAGUUUUAGGUCUUUUGGGACACAAAUGUUUGAGCUUUUCUAAGGGGUAUACCUAGAGAUUGGAUUGCUUGAUCCUAAGGUAUUCACAACUUUAUACUGCUGCCACCCACUGUACAAUUGUGUAGGUAGCUACACAUCCUCACCAGUGCUUGAUCCUUUCAGACUUCUUAACUUUUACCAGUCUGGUAGGUAGAAAAUGAUGUCUCCUUUUGGUUUUGUUUUCCCUACGGUCUGAUGAGAUUCAGCCUCAUCAUUUAUUUGCCAUCUGUGUUUUAUCAUGUGAAAGUGCUUAUUCAGGUCUCCUGCCCAUUUUCAUUCCCAGAUUCUUUAUAGUUUUGAUGUUACUUUAAGUGAUUUUUUAAAAACAACUUUCCAGUUGUUUGUUUGUAACAUAGAAAUGUAGUAGUUUUUUUUAAUGUGCUUUAAGUGAAAGUUUACAAAUCAAGUCAGUCUCUCAUACAAAAAUUUAUAUAUACCUUGCUGUAUACUCCUGGAAACCCUGUGGUGUAGUAGUUAAAUGCUGUGGCUGCUAACCAAAGGGUUGGAAGUUUGAAUCCACCAGGUGCUCCUUGGAAACUUUAUGGGGCAGUUCUACUCUGUCCUAUAGGGUUGCUAUGAGUUGGAAUCGACUUGACGGCACUGGGUUUGGUUUUUGGUUUAUAUACUCCUAGUUGCUCUCCCCCUAAUGAGACAGCACACUCCUUCUUUCCACUUUCUAUUUUCGUGUCCAUUCGACCAGCUUCUGACCCCCUCUGCCCUCUCAUCUCCCAUCCAGACAGGAGCUGCCCACAUAGUCUCACGUGUCUACUUGAUCCAAGAAGCUCAUUCCUUACCAGUACCAUUUUCUAUCUCAUAGUCCAGUCCAAUCCCUGUCUGAAGAGUUAGCUUUGGGAAUGGUCCCUGUCUUGGACUAACAGGAGGUCUGGGGACCAUGACCACUAGGGUCCUUCUAGUCUCAGUCAGACCAUUAAGUCUGGUCUUUUUACGAGAAUUUGAGGUCUGCAUCCCACUGUUCUGCUCCUUAGGGGUUCUCUUUUGUGUUCCCUGUCAGGGCAGUCAUCAGUUGUAGCUGGGCACUAUCUAGUCCUUCUACUCUCAGUUAGACCAUUAAGUCUGGUCUUUUUACGAGAAUUUGAGGUCUGCAUCCCACUGUUCUGCUCCCUUAGGGGUUCUCUUUUGUGUUCCCUGUCAGGGCAAUCAUCAGUUGUAGCUGGGCACUAUCUGGUAUCUUUGGUGUUCUUCAUUCUCUUUUGCUCCAGGUGGGUUGAGACCAAUUGAUGCAUCUUAAAUGGCCACAUGCUAGCAUUUAAGAUCUCCAAAGUGGGAUACAGAAUGUUUUCUUAAUAGAUUUUAUUAUGCCAGUUGACCUAGAUGUCCCCUGAAACCAUGGUCCCCAAAUGUAAUGGAAUUUUUAAUAUUCACCCUUGAGUCAGCUGUCUUCCUAAAGUCUCUUGUUAAUGCUAAUAAUGUGUCUAUAGAUGCUCUUGUGUUUUCUGUAUAGACAAUCAUAUAUGAAAAAAGACAAUUUUUUUUGCUUUGCCGGCUAAGCCUUCCAGCCUCAUACUGCUAGUAAUGAUGAGAGCAAGCAUCUUUGUCUUGUUGUUAAUCUUAAAUUCUUUGUACGGUUGACCAUUAAGUGUAAUGCUUGCUGUAGGUUUUCUUAUGGAUACCUUUUGUCAGAAAGGAUUUAAGGAAAAAUUUUUUCUUCUAUUCAUUGUUAACUAAGAGCUUUGCUUUGCUGAAUUUUUUUUUUUUAAUUUCUGCCUUUUUAAAUGUUUUUAUUAGAGACUAACAAGGUAGUAUGAGCUCAGUGUAAAAAAAUUCAAACAAUGUGGAAGUAUAUAACAUAAAAAUAAAAGAGUCUCCGGUAACCCUAGGCAAGAAUAUUCUUCCUGACAUGUUUUUGCUUGUGCAAAUGUGUAUACAUAUACUACACACAUACCACAAAAUUUUUCAUGUGUAUUAAUUAUAGACAUCUUUCAAAACCAGUACAUAUAGAUAGAACUGUCUUUUUUUUUUUUUUUUUUUUUUUUUUGCUUUGGUAAAAUAUAUAUAGUAGGACAGUGGUGGUUAAAUGAUAGAAUUCUCGCCUUCUAACAUUCAAUUGUGCUGUGAGGAACCCAUACAUAGAUCGAGAGGCAGCCAUUCGAACAGAACAAGGGGUACUGCAUGGUUUAAAGUCAGGAAAGGUGUGUGUCAGGGUUGUAUCUUUCACCAUACUUAGUCUGUAUGCUGAGCAAAUAAUCUGAGAAACUGGACUGUAUGAUGAAGAAGGGGGCAUCACGAUUGGAGGAAGACUCAUUAACAACCUGUGUUACGCAGAUGACACAACGUUGCUUGCUGAAAUUGAAGAGGACUUGAAGCACUUACUGAUGAGGAUCAAAGAGUUCGGUAUUCAGAGGAAUCAGUCCCUGGAGAAGGACAUCAUGCUUAGUAAAGUAGAGGAUCAGCAAAAAAAAGGAAGACCCUCAAGAUGGAUUCACCCAGUGGCUGCAGCAGUUGGCUCAGGUAUAACAAUGAUGUGAGGAUGGCACAGGACUGGGCAGUGUUUCGUUCUGUUGUACAUAGGGUUGCUGUGAGUCAGAGCCUACUUGAUGGCACCUAACAACAACAUGCGGGAGUACUGAAUUUGAUUCCCAGCCGUGUGCAGCCACCACCUAAUUGUCAGUGGAUGCUUGUGUUUUGCUGUGAUGCAGAACAGGUUUCAGUGGAGCUUCCAGACCAACAUGGACUUGGAAGAAAGGCCAGACAAUCUACUUCUAAUAAUCAGGCAGUGAAGACUGUGGAUUACAGCUAGUCUGAUCUGUGACUGAUCAUGGGGAUAACACAAGACCUGGCAGUGUUUUGUUCUUUUGUGCUUGGGGUCACCCUGAAUCAGUGACCAACUUAAUGUAGCUAACAACAACAAAAUAUAACAUAAAAUUUGCCAUUUUAACUAUUUUUAAGUGUACAGUUAAGUGGCAUUGUUUUGUUUUAAAAGUAUAAAUGGAUGUUGAAUUUUAUUAAACUUUUCCUGCAACUGUUAGAUAAUCAUAUGAUUUUUCACUCAUAAGCUGUUAUUAGUGAUGAAAAUUACAUUAAUUGAUUUUCUAAUUGCAAACCAAUCUUGUAUUCUAGGAUAGCACAACUUGAUCGUUAUGCGUUAGCCUUCUUAUGAAUUGCUGAAUUCACUUUGUUCAGGAUGUUAGCAUGUGUAUUCAUGAAUGAUACUGCCUGUGAUUUUCCAUUUUCAUAUUUUCUUACUAGGUUUUGGUGUCAGGCUUAUGAAAGCCUUAUAAAGUGAAGUGGAGAGUGUUCUCUCUACUUUGAAGAUAUAAUAUUUAUGUAUUUUAAUUUGUUCUUAAUUCUUCUGUGUUCGGUAAAACAUGUAGCCAAAAUGUCAGGGCCUAAUUUCCUUAGAGAAAUAAUUGAUUCCUCUAAUGAAUAUAUGUCUAUUUAAGUACCCUGUUCAUUUUUAAGACAUUUUUUUAAGUUGCAUUUUUCUUGGACUCUAUAUUUUUGUAAAUUUUCAAAUUGAUUAGCGUAAAGCUAAUCAUAAUAUUACCUUUUUGAUAGUGGUAUCGUUUGAUAGUGGUAUCGUUUGAUAGUUAUUCCUUUUUUUUUUUCAUUCCUAAUACUCUGUUUGUGCCUCCUUGCUCUUUUUUUUCUUUUCAGUAUUGCUAAGGUCAUGUUAAUUUCAUUAAUGUUCUCAAAGAAUAAACUUUUACCUGUUUUUUCCAUUUUAUUAGUUUUAAUUCUGAUUAAACUGCUUUGUUGUAGAGAAUAUAACCUAUAUGAUGUGUCUAUCCUCUGAAAUUGAUUGAGACUUGUUUUAUGUGGUCACUUUUUGUAUAUGCUCUGUAUUUGAAACGAAUGUAUAUUCUGCAGUUUUUUGGUACCGUCUCCUGUAGAUGUCUGUUAGAUUUAGAUUGCCCAUAGGUUUGUUUGGAUAUCCUGCAUACUUAGUGUGCUUGAUCCAUCAUAUAUUACUGAGUGGGAUAUAUUCACAUCUACUAUGAUGGUGAAUUUGUUUCUCCUGUUUUUUUGUCACUUUUGCUUUUUAUAUUUUGAGCCCAAAAAACUGAUCAUGUAAGCUUAAAGUAGUCAUGUGCCACAUAACAUCCAUUUACAACGUCAGAACAGGUAUAUGUCUCUGGUCCCAUAGGUUAUAAUAGAGUUCAUAACCAAUCAGAGAAUGGGAAGUAGCACACGUAACCAGAUGUAAUGAAUGGAACAGCUUCCGGCAUGCAACAUGUAUAUUUUUUGUCUGUCCUGCACUGCCACGUGUAUAAUGAUACAGUACAGUGCAUGUAUAACCUAUGACACAUAUGCCUGGAUAGUCAUAGUAAAUGCCUAGGUUACUGGCUUAUGUACGUACUGUACUGUACUUUCUAUCGUCAUUUUAAUGUGAACUUUUCCUACUUACAAGUAAAAAGUUUACUGUAUAACAUUGUAUUCUUCAACUCGUAGGCAGCAGCAGCAUCCUAUCUCAUGUAUCACACAUCUCUUUAGUGUUGUUGUGUCAUUUCUCUGUUUAGUUUUCUUUUGAAAAUAUUACCAUGAGGUGUAGUAUGGCUUCUAAAUGCAGCAAAACCAGUGGUAGUGACAGCAGCAGCGAGAGGCAGAGGAGAUGUUAAAGAUCUGGAAGUAAAACGAAAGGAAUCCCUUAUAGCUUUGCUAAGUAUGUAAUAUAGUGUCCACACGGCCUCCAAAUCAUGUAACGUCCUAAUUUCACAGAACAUACUGUGGACGGUAGUUUUUUUUUUUGGUGAAUUGAACCAUUUAUGGUUACGUAGUAUCUUGCUUUAUCUUUAGUAAUUUUUUUCUUCUGUUUUGCAAUGGAGUCUGUUUUGUGUGAUACUGAUAGAGCCAUAUAAACUUUAUUUCAGCCAUAGUUUGCCCUGGUAUGUUGUUGGUUGCUGUGAUUGUGACUCAUAGCAACCCCACCUGUGCAGAGUAGAACUGCUCCAUAGGCUUUUCAAGGCUAUUACCUUUUGCAGAUCAUCAGGCCUGUCUUCUGAGGUGCCUGUAGCUGGGUUUGAACCACCAACCUUUCAGCUAAUAAUAGAGCACUUAGCCAUUUUUUGCCACGAGGGGACUCCUUGCCUGGUAUAGCGUUCUUUAUUCUUUCAGACAUUUUGGAUCCUUGACCUUUAGGUGUGUCUUUUGUAAAUGAAGACUGCUAUGUAUGUUGUUCCAGAAUUUCUUAUGCAGGGCGAGAUAUUCACUGGGGGAAAGCAUCAUCUUUUUAACAAAUAGUGCUUGGACAACUGAAUAUGCAUGUGGGAAAGAAUGACGUUGGACCCUUACCUUACACUGUAUACAAAAAUUAACUCAAAAUGGAUUAAAGACCAAAAUGUAAGAGCUAAAAUGAUUAAAAAAAAAAAAAACCCUUAGAAGAAAACAUAGGGGUUAACCUUCAUGAUCUUGGAUUUGGCAGUGAUUUCUUUCACAUGACACUGAAAGCACAAAGAAGUAAAAAAAAAAAAAAAAGAUAAAUUG